This 2362-nucleotide long non-coding RNA is filed under the name Pelobates cultripes (western spadefoot toad). The record is from RNAcentral. Lineage: Eukaryota; Metazoa; Chordata; Amphibia; Anura; Pelobatidae.
CGGUGGCGGAGGAAGAAGCAGCGACAUGUCGCUGCCUCUGGUAAGUAACUUCAGCAACCGGGGAUUGGGGGUGGGUGGGAAAGGGGACCUAAAGUGCCAGGAAAACGGAUUGUUUUCCUGGCACUGGAGUUUUCCUUUAACCCUGUGCACACUGUGCGUAAUAAGGAGUCUCUCAGUAUCCUGCUGCUAUAACCCUGUGCACACUGUGCGUAAUAAGGAACCUCUCAGUAUCCUGCUGCUAUAACCCUGUGUACACUUUGUGUAAUAAGGAUUAUAUCAGUCUGCUUUAAUCCUGUGUACAGUGUGUGUAAUAAAGAGUCUCUCUGUACCCUGCUGCUUUAACCCUGUGUACAGUGUGUGUAAUAAAGUCUCUCUGUAUCCUGCUGCAUUAACCCUGUGUACGGUGUGUGUAAUAGGAAGUCUAUCAGUAUCCUGCUGCUUUAACCCUGUGCGUAAUAAGCAGUCUCUCAGUAUCCUGCUGCUUUAACCCGGUGUACACCGUGUGUAAUAGGAAAUCUAUCAGUAUGCUGCUGCUUUAACCCUGUGUAUACUGUGUGUAAUAAGGAAUCUAUCAGUAUCCUGCUGCUAUAACCCUAUGUACACUGUGUGUAAUAAGGAUUAUAUCCGUAUCCUGCUGCUUUAACCCUGUGUACACGGUGUGUAAUAAGGAAUCUAUCAGUAUUUUGUAGCUUUAACCCUGUGUACACUGUGCGUAAUAAGGAGUCUAUCAGUAUUUUGUAGCUUUAACCCUGUGUACACUGUGCGUAAUAAGGAGUCUAUCAGUAUUUUGUAGCUUUAACCCUGUGUACACUGUGCGUAAUAAGGAGUCUAUCAGUAUUUUGUAGCUUUAACCCUGUGUACACUGUGUGUAAUAAGGAAUCUAUCAGUAUGCUGCUGCUUUAACCCGUGUACACUGUGCGUAAUAAGGAGUCUAUCAGUAUGCUGCUGCUUUAACCCUGUGUACACUGUGCGUAAUAAGGAGUCUAUCAGUAUUUUGUAGCUUUAACCCUGUGUACACUGUGCGUAAUAAGGAGUCUAUCAGUAUUUUGUAGCUUUAACCCUGUGUACACUGUGCGUAAUAAGGAGUCUAUCAGUAUUUUGUAGCUUUAACCCUGUGUACACUGUGCGUAAUAAGGAGUCUAUCAGUAUUUUGUAGCUUUAACCCUGUGUACACUGUGUGUAAUAAGGAAUCUAUCAGUAUGCUGCUGCUUUAACCCUGUGUACACUGUGCGUAAUAAGGAGUCUAUCAGUAUUUUGUAGCUUUAACCCUGUGUACACUGUGCGUAAUAAGGAGUCUAUCAGUAUUUUGUAGCUUUAACCCUGUGUACAAUACGUGCGGAGAGCUAAUGGAGUAGCUGACAUGUUUUAUACCUGCAGCAAUAUUUAAUACCAGAUGAGACGGGAGAGCUGGAGCAAUAUACAGAGACAUGUACUGUGCGAUUGUGUGGGGGUCUCUGUAUUAUGCUCAGCACUGUGUAAUGCAUAUGUAUCUCUUUAUUGUACAUUCAGAAUUACUCCAUUCUGUGAACUGUUUAAGGACUACCAUUAGGGGUGGAGCAGACAGAGCCGAGUCAGGAGACCGCUACACCUCACCAUGUCAAAAGAACACUCCAGAUACCAUAAGCACUGUACGCAUUUCUCUUCAAGGUAACCUCAAUAAGGCGGCCAGAGGUAGAAGCCAUCCAAGAAUUCAUGGCAGGUUGUCACACAACUCACAUGUACCAGCUGACCGCAUCUCCCUAAUCAUUCCCAGAACUGCAGCAAUCCUAGCUCCCCCUUCUGCUAAUCAAACUGCCCUCAUACCCCACAUCAUCUGAGCCACUAGUGUGACAACCUAAGCAGCCCAUCUGCCCACCACGUGCCAUACCAAGAAGCCCACCACGUGACCCACCUGCCAUACCAAGGAGCCCACCUUCCAUUCCAAGAAGCCCACCACGAGGCCCACCUGCCGCACCAAUAAGCCCACCACGGGGCCCACCUUCCAUUCCAAGAAGCCAACGAUGCGGCCCACCUGCCAUUCCAAGAAGCCCACCACGAGGCCCACCUGUCAUUCCAAGAAGCCCACCUGCAGCACCAAGAAGCCCACCACGGGGCCUACCUUCCAUUCCAAGAAGCCAACGACGCAGCCCACCUGCCAUUCCAAGAAGCCAACGACGUGGCCCACCUGCCAUUCCAAGAAGUCCACCACGCGGCCCACCUGCCAUUCCAAGAAGCCCACCAGCCAGUAUAAUCAAACUUUUUUUUUUGGGGGCACAACUUCUGUUUUAAAACUAGAUGGCGGGAUAACACUACACAAUACAGAACCCACAUUAAACUAAUGUUUUCUUUUAUUCAAGAAUAAAUUAGUUGAUCUUUUCAAAUA